AGCAGCCGCGGUAAUUCCAGCUCCAAUAGCGUGUAUUAAAGUUGUUGCAGUUAAAAAGCUCGUAGUUGAAUUUCGGAACCAAUAUGUCGGUCGUGCCUCGGUACGUACUGGUGUCAUUGGUUUCUCCCUUCUGAGGAUCCUUGAUGUCAUUAAUUUGGUGUCUUGGGAAAUCAGGACUGUUACCUUGAAAAAAUUAGAGUGUUUAAAGCAGGCAUACGCUUGAAUACAUUAGCAUGGAAUAAUGAAAUAGGACGUUCGAUUCUAUUUUGUUGGUUUCUAGGAUCGACGUAAUGAUUAAUAGGGAUAGUUGGGGGCAUUAGUAUUCAAUUGUCAGAGGUGAAAUUCUUGGAUUUAUUGAAGACUAACUACUGCGAAAGCAUUUGCCAAGGGUGUUUUCAUUAAUCAAGAACGAAAGUUAGGGGAUCGAAGACGAUCAGAUACCGUCGUAGUCUUAACCAUAAACUAUGCCGACUAGGGAUCGGAUGAUGUUAAUUUUUAAUGACUCAUUCGGCGCCUUACG
Molecule: ribosomal RNA, 520 nt
Filed under: uncultured Glomus
Lineage: Eukaryota; Fungi; Glomeromycota; Glomeromycetes; Glomerales; Glomeraceae
Description: SSU rRNA
Rfam family: Eukaryotic small subunit ribosomal RNA
Source: RNAcentral